UCCCUCGCUAUAUGUAAGAUCCGUCUGUAUAAAUAUAGAGAUGAGUACGUGUUCGUCGACUAAUCUCGGUAUAGAAACACAUCGGGCUAACGAUCGAUGGAGCAGAGCCGCCGCCGUCGUCGAGCUCCACGUCAACCAGCUAUGGACCAGGCGCCAACUCCUUCAACUGCUUCCAGCAUCCGUGCCCCCAAUCCAAGGUCACCCGCAGCGACGAGAGGACGUAUUCGCCAGAGCCUUCUCUAUUCAGAUCGCCCCAGGUGAUCCAGGAGAGCUACUUCAGAUAAGCUACCGGUUGAGGAGCAUGCGGAUGAGGUAAGUAGCAGGGAGUUUGAAGCCCUCACACUUGAUCAAUCACGCCCUACGCCUGAGUCAACUCAUAGGCAAGCUGGAAAUGCAACCCAUGUUCGGCAAAGUGUUCUAUAUUCAGGCCGCCUCAGGCGGUCCCGUGGCAGACGAGAACAAGAACCAUCACCGGAUGAGCUACUGGUUGAGAAGAAUGCUAGCAAGGUGAGUGGCGGUGAGGGACCUAUAAUUACAGAUCUACCUGAAUUAACUCAAAGGGUUGAGAAGAAUGCUGGCAAGGUGAGCGACAUUGAGGGUCCUGCAGUUAAAGCUCCGUCGGUUAAGGAGGAUGCCAGUGAGGUUCGCAAUAGGGAGUUUAAAGCACCGACACUUGGUCAGUCACUUGACUCACUUCCUACAUGUAACCCAACUCAAAGGU
This is a long non-coding RNA of Triticum aestivum (bread wheat), 721 nucleotides long. RefSeq lists it as uncharacterized. The transcript has 7 exons. The record is from RefSeq and is a predicted model, not a curated record. Lineage: Eukaryota; Viridiplantae; Streptophyta; Magnoliopsida; Poales; Poaceae.